AAUUCUCAAUCUUAUUAGCUUUUGUUAAUGAAGACUUGGAUGUGGGGGGAAAAUUUUUUUGAAGGUUUCUCGCGAGCCUUCUCCCCUAAAAUGCAUUAGCUGGUCGCUCGCGCGAACUGUCUAUUGGUGUGAUAAUUAUCUACGCCAUUGACUAACUGCCAUAGUAGCACUGCUUCUAAUUGUCUUCGGACAAUAUAUGACA
This 202-nucleotide unclassified non-coding RNA is filed under the name Pholiota adiposa. Its description in RNAcentral is "partial internal transcribed spacer 2". Lineage: Eukaryota; Fungi; Basidiomycota; Agaricomycetes; Agaricales; Strophariaceae. The record is from RNAcentral.